RNAcentral lists this ribosomal RNA (253 nucleotides) under uncultured bacterium. RNAcentral describes it as "partial 16S ribosomal RNA". It matches the Rfam family "Bacterial small subunit ribosomal RNA", at positions 524 to 776 of the family's 1533-position model. The record is from RNAcentral.
UACGUAGGGGGCAAGCGUUGUCCGGAAUCAUUGGGCGUAAAGCGCGUGUAGGCGGCUGAGUAAGUCUGCUCUGAAAGCCCGGGGCUCAACCCCGGGAGGCGGGUGGAUACUGCUCAGCUCGAGUCCGGAAGAGGAGUGUGGAAUUCCACGUGUAGCAGUGAAAUGCGUAGAUAUGUGGAGGAACACCGAUGGCGAAGGCAGCCCCCUGGGUUAACACUGACGCUCAUGCACGAAAGCGUGGGGAGCAAACAGG